This 502-nucleotide ribosomal RNA is filed under the name uncultured bacterium. RNAcentral describes it as "partial 16S ribosomal RNA". It matches the Rfam family "Bacterial small subunit ribosomal RNA", at positions 30 to 523 of the family's 1533-position model. The record is from RNAcentral.
AUUGAACGCUGGCGGCAGGCUUAACACAUGCAAGUCGAGCGGAGUGAUGGUGCUUGCACUAUCACUUAGCGGCGGACGGGUGAGUAAUGCUUAGGAAUCUGCCUAUUAGUGGGGGACAACAUCUCGAAAGGGAUGCUAAUACCGCAUACGUCCUACGGGAGAAAGCAGGGGAUCACUUGUGACCUUGCGCUAAUAGAUGAGCCUAAGGCGGAUUAGCUAGUUGGUGGGGUAAAGGCCUACCAAGGCGACGAUCUGUAGCGGGUCUGAGCGGAUGAUCCUCCACACUGGGACUGAGACACGGCCCAGACUCCUACGGGAGGCAGCAGUGGGGAAUAUUGGACAAUGGGGGGAACCCUGAUCCAGCCAUGCCGCGUGUGUGAAGAAGGCCUUAUGGUUGUAAAGCACUUUAAGCGAGGAGGAGGCUCUUUUGGUUAAUACCAAGAUGAGUGGACGUUACUCGCAGAAUAAGCACCGGCUAACUCUGUGCCAGCCGCCGCCGUAA